CUCUCCCAGGUAGGGGAACUGUCCAUUCUCGGCGCCCCCCUUCAGUUCAAAACCCAGCUGACCCUCUGGGUUCCUGCCAAUGACACUCUCAUGGACUUUGCUAGUCCAGUGGCUUUUCUUUUUCAAGCUUUUGGACAUGGCAGUGGGUGAAAACCAGACUUCUCUACUUAAUUACUGAUUCCAAAGAUUAAAUUGUUAAAGGUAACAGCUUACCAUUACUUAUUUAUUUGCUUUUCUAGAAAAAUUAAGUAUAAUCUGAUAGUUUAAAGUUUGUUUUGUAUAGUAUAAGGAGACAAAGAUUCUCAUUUUAAUAAACACUUGCUAACUAUUGCA
This 333-nucleotide long non-coding RNA is filed under the name Bos mutus (wild yak). Its description in RNAcentral is "lncRNA (ENSBMUG00000005748.1)". The record is from RNAcentral. Lineage: Eukaryota; Metazoa; Chordata; Mammalia; Artiodactyla; Bovidae.